Molecule: unclassified non-coding RNA, 400 nt
Filed under: soil metagenome
Description: partial contains 5.8S ribosomal RNA, internal transcribed spacer 2, and large subunit ribosomal RNA
Rfam family: 5.8S ribosomal RNA (bases 1-122)
Source: RNAcentral
GAUGAAGAACGUAGCGAAAUGUGAUACUCGGUGUGAAUUGCAGAAUCCCGUGAACCAUCGAGUCUUUGAACGCAAGUUGCGCCUCAAGCCAUUAGGUUGAGGGCACGUCUGCCUGGGCGUCACAUAUCGUUGCCUGAUGCCAGUUUCCUCGUGAUGGGUGACUGUGCAGGGCGAAUGAUGGCUUCCCGUGAGCAUUGUUGCCUCAUGGUUGGUUGAAAAUUGAGUCCUUGGUAGGGAGCGCCGUGAUAGAUGGUGGUUGAGUGACGAACGAGACCCAAUCAUGUGAGACCCCUACCGAAUUUGGCCUUCAUGACCCACAUGCGUCUUUGGAACGCUCAUGACGAGACCUCAGGUCAGGCGGGGCGACCCGCUGAGUUUAAGCAUAUCAAUAAGCGGAGGA